UACGUAGGGAGCAAGCGUUGUCCGGAAUCAUUGGGCGUAAAGCGCGCGUAGGUGGCCCUGUAAGUCCGCUCUGAAAGUCGAAGGCUCAACCUUCGAAAGCGGGUGGAUACUGCAGGGCUAGAGUCCGGAAGAGGCGAGUGGAAUUCCUGGUGUAGCGGUGGAAUGCGCAGAUAUCAGGAGGAACACCAACGGCGAAGGCAGCUCGCUGGGACGGUACUGACACUGAGGCGCGAAAGCGUGGGGAGCGAACAGG
This 253-nucleotide ribosomal RNA is filed under the name uncultured bacterium. RNAcentral's name for it is "partial 16S ribosomal RNA". It matches the Rfam family "Bacterial small subunit ribosomal RNA", at positions 524 to 776 of the family's 1533-position model. The record is from RNAcentral.